UGGCUCUCGCAUCGAUGAAGAACGCAGCGAAAUGCGAUAAGUAAUGUGAAUUGCAGAAUUCAGUGAAUCAUCGAAUCUUUGAACGCACCUUGCGCCCCUUGGUAUUCCGAGGGGCAUGCCCGUUUGAGUGCCGUGAUCAUUCUCAACUCCCAAGCCUUUGCUCGGAGUGUUGGACUUGGAUGCUGCUGGUUGCUCCGGCUCAUCCCAAAUGCAUCAGUGAGUCCUCGACUUGCGACCGCAUUGGCGUGAUGGGUCCCAAGGACGAAACGUCGAUCGUGUCCAGUCCCGGCUCGCUCACAACCCGUCCCCAUCGGGGGACAACCGACCCAGUCGGUUUGGGCUCUUUGGAGUCCCGUGGUGUAUGGCCUCAAAUCGGGUAGGACUACCCGCUGA
Molecule: unclassified non-coding RNA, 393 nt
Filed under: uncultured fungus
Lineage: Eukaryota; Fungi
Description: partial contains 5.8S ribosomal RNA and internal transcribed spacer 2
Rfam family: 5.8S ribosomal RNA (bases 1-133)
Source: RNAcentral